RNAcentral lists this small RNA (28 nucleotides) under Bombyx mori (domestic silkworm). RNAcentral's name for it is "piRNA piR-bmo-2210536". Lineage: Eukaryota; Metazoa; Arthropoda; Insecta; Lepidoptera; Bombycidae. The record is from RNAcentral.
UAGAAUCUAGUCGGGCCAUGAGCGCUGC